AGGUAUCCAGCCGGUUCCCCUGCAAACCAUCACCAAUGAGAACCCAUCGGGACCGAGCUUGGGGACCAUCCCGCAAGCCCACUUCCUCCUGGUGAUGCUCAGCAUGCUCACCCUGCAGCACAGCGCAAACCCCUCGCUCAGACGGCACUGCGCCUGAUUGGCCCCAGUUGUGACAGCGUUGAGGAAGAUAUGAAUGCUUCUGCUCAAGGUGCUUCUGCCACAGUUUUGGAAGAAACAAGGAAGGAAACG
This 249-nucleotide long non-coding RNA is filed under the name Homo sapiens (human). RNAcentral's name for it is "non-protein coding lnc-GOLGA6L6-10:1". Lineage: Eukaryota; Metazoa; Chordata; Mammalia; Primates; Hominidae. The record is from RNAcentral.